UACGUAGGGUGCGAGCGUUAAUCGGAAUUACUGGGCGUAAAGCGUGCGCAGGCGGUUUUGUAAGCCAGAUGUGAAAUCCCCGGGCUUAACCUGGGAAUGGCCGUCGAAACUGGCGAACUGGAGUGUGGCAGAGGGGGGGUGGAAUUCCGCGUGUAGCAGUGAAAUGCGUAGAGAUGCGGAGGAACACCGAUGGCGAAGGCAGCCCCCUGGGCUGACACUGACGCUCAGGCACGAAAGCGUGGGGAGCAAACAGG
This 254-nucleotide ribosomal RNA is filed under the name uncultured bacterium. RNAcentral describes it as "partial 16S ribosomal RNA". It matches the Rfam family "Bacterial small subunit ribosomal RNA", at positions 524 to 776 of the family's 1533-position model. The record is from RNAcentral.